CGCAAUACUGCCCCACCACUCACAGCAGGCAUUCCCUCACUGUGCUACACCACUGGACUCAGCACAGGAAGCACCCUGAGCACUCAGCCUGCACCUCUCCAUCCUGCCUCCCACAGCCAGUCUGCUACUGCCAGACCCAGGGACCAUCAGCCAGGGGCUCUCUCUACAUCUCAGGAGAACAAGCUGCUGGGCUCAUAGUCCUCUCCUUCUGGCUGUCAGAUCAAACACAGCUCCUCAGGAUUUCAAUUGCCCUGAAGAAAACUUUUUUCUUCUUCUCUACUGAACCCUAAACGCCUGGAGGGGUCUCUUUGCCCCAGUUUGCCCCCCUCACUGACAAUUACUGCAGCCCCUCUCCAG
Non-coding RNA from Pelobates cultripes (western spadefoot toad), 357 nucleotides. The record is from the annotation of a GenBank genome assembly. Lineage: Eukaryota; Metazoa; Chordata; Amphibia; Anura; Pelobatidae.